Molecule: unclassified non-coding RNA, 407 nt
Filed under: Utricularia lateriflora
Lineage: Eukaryota; Viridiplantae; Streptophyta; Magnoliopsida; Lamiales; Lentibulariaceae
Description: partial miscellaneous RNA
Source: RNAcentral
CUGCUAUUGAAGCUCCAACAAAUGGAUAAAAUUUUUUUUAGUCGAGAGGCUUUGUUGAAAUAAAAAUCCAAUUCAAAUUCCAAAAAUUCUAAUUUAUUCUUUAUUUUUAUUCUUUAUUAAAGUAAUUUUUAUUCUUUAUUAAAGUAAUAAAAAAUAAAGAAUAAAAAAAGGUAGUAUUUUUUUAAUAUAGAAAUGAAAUAAAAUACAAGGAGUAAUAAAUUCUUUCUUGUUCUCUCAAGACGGAUUAUUGCUCCUUUUUUUGUUUUCAAUUAGAUAUAUUAGUCAGUUUUUUUUCUCUUUUUUACAUUACAAGAGAAAAAAACCCAGCAAAGAAACGAAAGUAUAAAAAAGGAAUUUUUUUUGUGUUAAAACGAGUAAUUUUUUUUUUAAAGAAAAAAAAAAAAAAA